GAUGCACCACUAUAUAAACUGACAACAGAGCAGACGCCUGUCAGUUGCUGGAUUUGAUCUCUUGACAGUGAGAAUACAUUCUCUUGUGUUGCAUCGAACAUUCAAAGUUUCAAGUACUCUUACCGUAGACAUAACGACUCCAAGAUGAAAGCCAUUUUUGUCAUUCUCUUGGUGGUUCUAGCUGCCUUGGCCUUGGAAGCAAGGUCUACUAAUCGUCUGUGGCAGUUUGAUGAUGAAAGCGAAUCAGACGCAGCAGAGAGGAUGCUAGAACUGUUUUUGGAGCGAAGGGAACCGUCUAUCUGCCCUGCUUGUUCCCAUCAAAAAGUCGGUUGUCCUUGCGGCCUCAGGAGCCAUUGUUUACGUUUAUACUGUACCAGCACCGGAAAGUGCACUGAAUCAAACUGCGGCAAACACAAGUAGUUCAAGCCAAGCUUGUUACAUACAAAGGUAAAGUUGCCUUGACCAGCUCAGUGAUUCCUUAGGAGCUUAAAGAAAAGCUCAUUGUAGAUUGAUGCUUUCAUUUUGUACCUUUUUUAAGUUUGUUUAGUUGUUAUUUGAAGUUCCUUACUGAAUGAUUAAGGGAGAUAUAAAUAUAUAUGUAUAUAAGUACAAGGAUGUAUUGUGUAAAAUUUACACAGAAUAAAAGGAAUCAAAACUUGAGUGUUUGCCACAAUUUAAA
Actinia tenebrosa (Australian red waratah sea anemone) is the source of this 679-nucleotide long non-coding RNA. RefSeq lists it as uncharacterized. Lineage: Eukaryota; Metazoa; Cnidaria; Anthozoa; Actiniaria; Actiniidae. The record is from RefSeq and is a predicted model, not a curated record.